GAACGCUGGCGGCAGGCCUAACACAUGCAAGUCGAGCGCGAAAACACUUCGGUGUGAGUAGAGCGGCGGACGGGUGAGUAAUGCUUGGGAAUCUGCCCAGUAGUGGGGGAUAACGUGUGGAAACGCACGCUAAUACCGCAUACGUCCUACGGGAGAAAGCAGGGGAUCUUCGGACCUUGCGCUAUUGGAUGAGCCCAAGUCGGAUUAGCUAGUUGGUGGGGUAAUGGCCUACCAAGGCGACGAUCCGUAGCUGGUCUGAGAGGAUGAUCAGCCACACUGGGACUGAGACACGGCCCAGACUCCUACGGGAGGCAGCAGUGGGGAAUAUUGCACAAUGGGCGAAAGCCUGAUGCAGCCAUGCCGCGUGUGUGAAGAAGGCUCUAGGGUUGUAAAGCACUUUCAGUAGGGAGGAAAAGCUUAAGGUUAAUAACCUUGAGCCCUGACGUUACCUACAGAAGAAGCACCGGCAAACUCCGUGCCAGCAGCCGCGGUAAUACGGAGGGUGCGAGCGUUAAUCGGAAUUACUGGGCGUAAAGCGCGCGUAGGUGGUUUGAUAAGCUAGCUGUGAAAGCCCCGGGCUCAACCUGGGAACUGCAGUUAGAACUGUCUGACUAGAGUACAGUAGAGGGUGGCGGAAUUUCCUGUGUAGCGGUGAAAUGCGUAGAUAUAGGAAGGAACAUCAGUGGCGAAGGCGGCCACCUGGACUGAUACUGACA
Molecule: ribosomal RNA, 716 nt
Filed under: bacterium IMCC4868
Lineage: Bacteria
Description: bacterial SSU rRNA
Rfam family: Bacterial small subunit ribosomal RNA
Source: RNAcentral